UACGUAGGGGGCAAGCGUUGUCCGGAAUCAUUGGGCGUAAAGAGCGUGUAGGCGGCUCGGUAAGUCCGCUGUGAAAGUCCAGGGCUCAACCCUGGAAUGCCGGUGGAAACUGUCGAGCUAGAGUCCGGAAGAGGCGAGUGGAAUUCCUGGUGUAGCGGUGAAAUGCGCAGAUAUCAGGAGGAACACCAACGGCGAAAGCACUCUGCUGGGCCGACACUGACACUGAGAGACGAAAGCUAGGGGAGCGAAUGGG
This 253-nucleotide ribosomal RNA is filed under the name uncultured bacterium. RNAcentral's name for it is "partial 16S ribosomal RNA". It matches the Rfam family "Bacterial small subunit ribosomal RNA", at positions 524 to 776 of the family's 1533-position model. The record is from RNAcentral.